AUACGGGGGGAGCAAGCGUUGUUCGGAAUUACUGGGCGUAAAGGGCGCGUAGGCGGCCUUGUAAGUCGGGUGUGAAAUGCCGGGGCUCAACUCCGAGCACUGCACCUGAUACUGCUUGGCUAGAGAGAGGUAGAGGCGAGCGGAAUUCCCGGUGUAGCGGUGGAAUGCGUAGAUAUCGGGAAGAACAUCAGUGGCGAAGGCGACUGUCUGGCUCAACACUGCCGCUGAGGUGCGAAAGCGUGGGUAGCAAACAGGAUUAGAUACCCGAGUAGUCC
This 275-nucleotide ribosomal RNA is filed under the name uncultured bacterium. RNAcentral's name for it is "partial 16S ribosomal RNA". It matches the Rfam family "Bacterial small subunit ribosomal RNA", at positions 523 to 796 of the family's 1533-position model. The record is from RNAcentral.